Molecule: ribosomal RNA, 594 nt
Filed under: uncultured archaeon
Lineage: Archaea
Description: bacterial SSU rRNA
Rfam family: Archaeal small subunit ribosomal RNA
Source: RNAcentral
CGAUUACGGCUCAGUAACACGUAGUCAACCUAACCUAUGGACGGGAAUAACCUCGGGAAACUGAGAAUAAUGCCCGAUAGAACACUAUACCUGGAAUGGUUUGUGUUCCAAAUGAUUUAUCGCCGUAGGAUGGGACUGCGGCUAUCAGUUUGUUGGUGAGGUAAUGGCCCACCAAGACUAUUACAGGUACGGGCUCUGAGAGGAGUAGCCCGGAGAUGGGUACUGAGACACGGACCCAGGCCCUAUGGGGCGCAGCAGGCGAGAAAACUUUGCAAUGUGCGAAAGCACGACAAGGUUAAUCCGAGUGAUUUGUGCUAAACGAAUCUUUUGUUAGUCCUAGAACCACUAACGAAUAAGGGGUGGGCAAGUUCUGGUGUCAGCCGCCGCGGUAAAACCAGCACCUCAAGUGGUCAGGAUGAUUAUUGGGCCUAAAGCAUCCGUAGCCGGCUCUGUAAGUUUUCGGUUAAAUCUGUACGCUUAACGUACAGGCUGCCGGGAAUACUGCAGAGCUAGGGAGUGGGAGAGGUAGACGGUACUCGGUAGGAACGGGGUAAAAUCCUUUGAUCUAUUGAUGACCACCUGUGGCGAAGGCGG